This 463-nucleotide ribosomal RNA is filed under the name uncultured bacterium. RNAcentral's name for it is "partial 16S ribosomal RNA". It matches the Rfam family "Bacterial small subunit ribosomal RNA", at positions 28 to 507 of the family's 1533-position model. The record is from RNAcentral.
GAUGAACGCUGACAGAAUGCUUAACACAUGCAAGUCUUUGGCGAAGCUGUGCUUGCACAGCCUAGCCAAGGCGGACGGGUGAGUAACGCGUAAGGAACUUGCCCUGCAGUCAGGGAUAACAGACGGAAACGACUGCUAAGACCUGGUAAAGUCAGGCGGACUCAUGUCCAGCCUGAUGAAAAGAGAUGCUGCAGGAGAGCCUUGCGUCCUAUUAGCUUGUUGGUGGGGUAACGGCCCACCAAGGCGAUGAUAGGUAGCCGGCCUGAGAGGGUGGACGGCCACAAGGGGACUGAGAUACGGCCCUUACUCCUACGGGAGGCAGCAGUGGGGAAUAUUGGACAAUGGGGGCAACCCUGAUCCAGCAAUUCUGUGUGCACGAUGAAGGUUUUCGGAUUGUAAAGUGCUUUCAGCAGGGAAGAAAAAAAUGACGGUACCUGCAGAAGAAGCGACGGCUAAAUACGUG